CAGCGCCUUCGCGGAGGGAUCUGGGAGUGAAGCGCCGGACCGGGCGCGGGUCGCACAGGUGCUUCGGCCGGACGCGAAACGGCUUACAGUGGUUAGAAAGAAUGGAUGAUGUAGCUGCCCCACUUCCUACUUGCACUCUUGUUUAAUGGAAAAAUGCAUGGGAAAUCUGUGGAGGCGGUAAAGCGAGGCGUUCUAACUCUGGAAGGAAUUUUGCUAAAGUGAGGUCAAAAAGAGCAGUUAACAAAUGCAUCAUCACAUUCCGAUGUGUAGACUUUUUAAACCUGAAUCAUCUGUAAAGCUGAGGGCAUCGUUUGAAAACACUGACAAUUUCCUGUUAAUUUCCCCUAAAUGAAAUCAUCAAAUGCAUUUGUUUUCAUUCUGAAAAAAAAUGUGCUUUGCUACGAAAUA
This is a long non-coding RNA of Leopardus geoffroyi (Geoffroy's cat), 408 nucleotides long. RefSeq lists it as uncharacterized. The transcript has 3 exons. The record is from RefSeq and is a predicted model, not a curated record. Lineage: Eukaryota; Metazoa; Chordata; Mammalia; Carnivora; Felidae.